CACUCUCUUCUCAUACUCCUUAUCCCUGAUAACAUAGGGAUUAGAAUUCAAACCUGCUUCUACAAUUCCUUGCUAUCCUCCCUCUCCUGUCACUUUUGCAUUGAUAAUCCCUCCCUCUUGCUCUUUGGAAAUUUCACAACAAGUAGUUGGAGCCUCAGAACCAGGAUUAUUAUCAGGUUUAGAAACUGGAGACAGCGGCAUGUUUAGAGAAGCUUUUUCUUUUUUGAAGUAUAAGGCUAUAUCGGGUUGUGUGCAUGGUAGAGGGCUAAGUUGGGGUUGCUCGAGGAGCUACUAUUCAUGAGAUCCUUGUGAUCCAUGCAUUUAAUGAGAGUUCGCGGUCUUGAGAAGAGAUAACAAACCAGUGCUUGGCACGUUACCAAUACGCGCAGCCUCAACGACUGCUAUUUGGGAAACAUCUGGACUCCGAUGCAAAUGUGGUGGCAAAAGGGAAAGUUGUUUCUGAUUGGAAAUCUGGUUCUGUUGAUAUAGAGAAGAGAAAGUUCUUGGUUUAAAGGUGACUAUGCCGUUAACCGUGGCCCGUAUUUCAAAGGGCUUUCAAUUCUUUCUCCUUGGGACAGAACAGCUGCACUUUCAGGACACCCUUUGAUAAUAUGCCUAAUCCUCCCACAAAAGAAACAGAUUAUGGCUAACUUCGAUUAUGGGUAACUUCGAUUACUUAAAGUUAAUCUAAUCUCUUCUUGUACCCUAUUUAAUCUCUUCUUGUACCCUCCUUGGUCUAAUGAAAACCUGUCAAAACAGGCUAAUCCACUUACACCCACACUUUGAUUCGAAAGAAAGCCCUCCAUUCUUUAACAUUCCCUUGAUUUGUAUCACUUUAAUCAGCACUGUAAACAAACCACAAAUACAUUCUUCAUUUUCAGAAUUCUACAUAUUUGGAGGGAGACAAUACACUUGAAGUCAAAACCCACAUGUAGUAAAAUCAAUUUCCUCGAUUGCUUUGUCUGGAGGCCAUUUUUUAAGAAUCAUGAGAUUAUUAUCUAUAAGCCAAGACGACUCCUCUGUAAUUCUUUCCUUGAUUUGUCCUUCUUCAAAGACAACAAUGAACAAACCUUCUGGACCCUUUUCACAGAAAUAUCUGUUAGCUUCCAUAUUUAGCUCAGAGUCGUUUUUAAAACCCAGAGAUUAUACUCCUUUUUAGCUACAAUCUUGAGAAUGAGUUUGUUAUAAAUAAAACUUUGUCCAACUUCUUUCGCAGGAAAAAGUUCCAAGAAAGGUUCCUACUCAAUGAUUGGUUAGGUAUAGACAUAAUGAAAAGUGUUUGAGAUUGAGAACUUAGAGAAAGGUCGGUGUAGGGG
RNAcentral lists this unclassified non-coding RNA (1316 nucleotides) under Hevea brasiliensis (rubber tree). Lineage: Eukaryota; Viridiplantae; Streptophyta; Magnoliopsida; Malpighiales; Euphorbiaceae. The record is from RNAcentral.